RNAcentral lists this small RNA (131 nucleotides) under chicken gut metagenome. Its description in RNAcentral is "Ribosomal protein L10 leader". It matches the Rfam family "Ribosomal protein L10 leader", at positions 8 to 131 of the family's 138-position model. Rfam says of the family: This family is a putative r-protein leader autoregulatory structure found in B. subtilis and other low-GC Gram-positive bacteria. It is located in the 5' untranslated regions of mRNAs encoding ribosomal proteins L10 and L12 (rplJ-rplL). A Rho-independent transcription terminator structure that is probably involved in regulation is included at the 3' end. The record is from RNAcentral.
AGUAUGAAUACUGCCGAAGACAGUAGGUGCUGGAAAGCAUAAGGAUCAAAACGCCUACCGAGGGAAUAUCACUUUCUUACAAGAAUAGGAAUGAUAGAUGCUCUAUGUCUUUGGACAUAGAGCUUUUUUAU